Molecule: long non-coding RNA, 477 nt
Filed under: Rhagoletis pomonella (apple maggot)
Lineage: Eukaryota; Metazoa; Arthropoda; Insecta; Diptera; Tephritidae
Description: uncharacterized LOC118751249
Source: RNAcentral
CGAGUAAGAUUUCCAAAUGAAAUUGAAGCCACAGCAAAUAGUGCAUAGCUCCAAGGCUUCGAAACAAAUAUAGAAGCUAUACGAUGCCAGAAAGACUACAGAGAAUCGAAGAGCGCUAACCAGGAAACAGCGUAAAAGGGCCAAGUCGUUGAGCAAGGGCGUGCUCAUAGCAUGGAAAUACAAUGCAAACGGUGCCAACAUAAAAUUAAACUGCCAAGGCAUAAGCAAGAAUUUUUACCUGAAACUGUGACGCCUGCCCACAGCAUCAAAUAAGGAUAUCGUUCCAAUGAAACCCAAUAUUAACGACGUAUUUUGACGACGAUGAACUCUUUGCGAACGCUCCGGGUUUUCAUCACCGGGCUUGUAAAUUGAUGGCACGGAGCCUCGUUUCAACAAUCUUCUUUUUGCAUAACCUUAGAAAUGUUUUAAACACUUUCAUUAAUAUAAACACAAUAAACGAAAUAAAUAAACAUCCUA